Molecule: ribosomal RNA, 254 nt
Filed under: uncultured bacterium
Lineage: Bacteria
Description: partial 16S ribosomal RNA
Rfam family: Bacterial small subunit ribosomal RNA
Source: RNAcentral
UACGGGGGGAGCAAGCGUUGUUCGGAUUUACUGGGCGUAAAGGGCGUGUAGGCGGCCACCGCAAGUCGACUGUGAAAUCUCCGGGCUUAACUCGGAAAGGUCAGCCGAUACUGCGGGGCUAGAGUGCAGAAGGGGCAACUGGAAUUCUCGGUGUAGCGGUGAAAUGCGUAGAUAUCGAGAGGAACACCUGCGGCGAAGGCGGGUUGCUGGGCUGACGCUGACGCUGAAACGCGAAAGCUAGGGGAGCGAACGGG